UACAGAGGGUGCAAGCGUUAAUCGGAUUUACUGGGCGUAAAGGGCGCGUAGGUGGUUGUUUAAGUGAGAUGUGAAAGCCCCGGGCUCAACCUGGGAACUGCAUCUUAUACUGGGCAACUGGAGUACAUGGGAGGGUAGUGGAAUUUCCGGUGUAGCGGUGAAAUGCGUAGAUAUCGGAAGGAACACCAGUGGCGAAGGCGGCUACCUGGCAUGAUACUGACACUGAGGCGCGAGAGCGUGGGGAGCAAACAGG
RNAcentral lists this ribosomal RNA (253 nucleotides) under uncultured bacterium. Its description in RNAcentral is "partial 16S ribosomal RNA". It matches the Rfam family "Bacterial small subunit ribosomal RNA", at positions 524 to 776 of the family's 1533-position model. The record is from RNAcentral.